AUUAGGGUUUGUUUCUGUGAUAGAGUUGUUCGAUUAAGCCAAAGCGAUUUGGUUAGCAGUAUUGUCUCUGUCUCAUAGUUUUGUUGGACACUCUUAUGUGUCUUUGUUGUUCCAAUUUCUCUUUGUCUCUGUGGGUUUUCGAUUAAACUUAUACUUUCUUUAACUUUUUCUUCUGUUAACUGCAGAUGGCCUCAAGAAGAGGACAAGGGACAUCUCCUCCUAUGCCUCCUGGUG
Molecule: long non-coding RNA, 234 nt
Filed under: Brassica napus (rape)
Lineage: Eukaryota; Viridiplantae; Streptophyta; Magnoliopsida; Brassicales; Brassicaceae
Description: long non-coding RNA (BNAP_LNC025244)
Source: RNAcentral